This 506-nucleotide ribosomal RNA is filed under the name uncultured bacterium. RNAcentral describes it as "partial 16S ribosomal RNA". It matches the Rfam family "Bacterial small subunit ribosomal RNA", at positions 30 to 523 of the family's 1533-position model. The record is from RNAcentral.
AUUGAACGCUAACGGCGUGCUUAACACAUGCAAGUCGAACGGCAGCACAGCAGUAGCAAUACUGUGGGUGGCGAGUGGCGGACGGGUGAGUAAUGCAUAGGAAUCUGCCUUGUAAUGGGGGAUAACCCGGGGAAACUCGGGCUAAUACCGCAUAAUCUUUACGAAGCAAAGUGGGGGACCGUAAGGCCUCACGUUAUAAGAUGAGCUGAUGUUGGAUUAGCUAGUUGGUGGGGUAAAGGCCUACCAAGGCGACGAUCCAUAGCUGGUCUGAGAGGAUGAUCAGCCACACUGGGACUGAGACACGGCCCAGACUCCCACGGGAGGCAGCAGUGGGGAAUAUUGGACAAUGGGGGAAACCCUGAUCCAGCAACGCCGUGUGUGUGAAGAAGGCCUUAGGGUUGUAAAGCACUUUCAGUAGGGAAGAAAAGCUUAAGGGUAAUAUCCUUGAGUAUUGACGUUACCUACAGAAGAAGCACUGGCUAACUCUGUGCCAGCCGCCGCGGUAA